GGCUGGUCUGAAGGUAGUCAGUUAUCUCAGUUGAUUAUUCACAGUCAGUUAUAGACUGAACGCCUUGUUCUACUCUUUCCCUUCUCACUACUGCACUUGACUAGUCUUAA
RNAcentral lists this Y RNA (110 nucleotides) under Prolemur simus (greater bamboo lemur). RNAcentral describes it as "Y RNA (ENSPSMG00000022139.1)". It matches the Rfam family "Y RNA". From Rfam's summary of the family: Y RNAs are components of the Ro ribonucleoprotein particle (Ro RNP), in association with Ro60 and La proteins. The Y RNAs and Ro60 and La proteins are well conserved, but the function of the Ro RNP is not known. Lineage: Eukaryota; Metazoa; Chordata; Mammalia; Primates; Lemuridae. The record is from Rfam by way of RNAcentral.